Molecule: ribosomal RNA, 481 nt
Filed under: Streptococcus parasanguinis
Lineage: Bacteria; Bacillati; Bacillota; Bacilli; Lactobacillales; Streptococcaceae
Description: bacterial SSU rRNA
Rfam family: Bacterial small subunit ribosomal RNA
Source: RNAcentral
GAUGAACGCGGCGGCGUGCCUAAUACAUGCAAGUAGAACGCUGAAGCUUGGUGCUUGCACCGAGCGGUGAGUUGCGAACGGGUGAGUAACGCGUAGGUAACCUGCCUCUUAGCGGGGGAUAACUAUUGGAAACGAUAGCUAAUACCGCAUAAAAGUCGAUAUCGCAUGAUAUUGAUUUGAAAGGUGCAAUUGCAUCGCUAAGAGAUGGACCUGCGUUGUAUUAGCUAGUUGGUGAGGUAACGGCUCACCAAGGCGACGAUACAUAGCCGACCUGAGAGGGUGAUCGGCCACACUGGGACUGAGACACGGCCCAGACUCCUACGGGAGGCAGCAGUAGGGAAUCUUCGGCAAUGGGGGCAACCCUGACCGAGCAACGCCGCGUGAGUGAAGAAGGUUUUCGGAUCGUAAAGCUCUGUUGUAAGAGAAGAACGAGUGUGAGAGUGGAAAGUUCACACUGUGACGGAACUACCAGAAAGGACGC